RNAcentral lists this small nuclear RNA (109 nucleotides) under Panthera tigris altaica (Amur tiger). Lineage: Eukaryota; Metazoa; Chordata; Mammalia; Carnivora; Felidae. The record is from RNAcentral.
GUGCUUGCUUCAGCAGCACAUAUACUAAAAAAUUGGAACGAUGCAGAGAAGAUUAGCAUGGCCCCCGUGCAAGAAUGACACACAAAUUUGUGAAGCAUUCCAUAUUUCU